Molecule: ribosomal RNA, 347 nt
Filed under: uncultured bacterium
Lineage: Bacteria
Description: partial 16S ribosomal RNA
Rfam family: Bacterial small subunit ribosomal RNA
Source: RNAcentral
CCUACGGGUGGCUGCAGUGAGGAAUAUUGGUCAAUGGACGAGAGUCUGAACCAGCCAAGUAGCGUGAAGGAUGACUGCCCUAUGGGUUGUAAACUUCUUUUAUAAAGGAAUAAAACGAGGCACGUGUGCCUUUUUGCAUGUACGUUAUGAAUAAGGAACGGCUAACUCCGUGCCAGCAGCCGCGGUAAUACGGAGGCUCCGAGCGUUAUCCGGAUUUAUUGGGGUUAAAGGGAGCGUAGAUGGGUUGUUUAGUCAGUUGUGACAGUGUGCCGCUCAACCGGAAAAUUUCAAUUGAUACUGUCAGUCUUUCGUACAGUUGCGGUAGGCGGAAUUCGUGGUGUAGCGGU